AGCAGAAUAGCUCUGUUGGUUAGAGUGUCAGAUAGUAACUCUGAGGUCGCUGGUUCGACUCUGGCUUCAGCCA
Molecule: non-coding RNA, 73 nt
Organism: Mycena vulgaris
Lineage: Eukaryota; Fungi; Basidiomycota; Agaricomycetes; Agaricales; Mycenaceae
Source: the annotation of a GenBank genome assembly